RNAcentral lists this ribosomal RNA (200 nucleotides) under uncultured eukaryote. RNAcentral describes it as "partial 18S ribosomal RNA". The record is from RNAcentral.
UUGGAACCGCGUCAAUCGGUCUCGUGUGAUGGGAUCAAGGCGGAUCAUUCGAAUCGCACUCGGGGGUCAACUGCGGCAACACACAGGUCACUUAAGAUGUUACCAAUAAAAAGCACCGACGAGAUGACCAAAAUACCAUUACCACAGGAUAGUCACGCUCUAACAGUGAUUCAUAACCAAGAAGACCGAAGCCAUUGAUA